RNAcentral lists this long non-coding RNA (3417 nucleotides) under Triticum aestivum (bread wheat). Its description in RNAcentral is "long non-coding RNA (TAES_LNC017969)". The record is from RNAcentral. Lineage: Eukaryota; Viridiplantae; Streptophyta; Magnoliopsida; Poales; Poaceae.
CCCAUGUAAUGAACAAGAAUGGGAUAAAGAGUUGGCUUACAAUCGCCACUUCACACAAUACAUGAAUAAAACAUACAUCAUUCAGAGAUACACACAUAGGUCCGACUACGGAACCCAAAAUAAAAGAAGACAACCCAACUGCUAGAUCCCCGAUCGUCCCAACUGGGCUCCACUACUGAUCAAAAAGAAAAGAAACAACACAACGAACAAGAUCUUCAUCGAGCUCCCACUUGAGCUCAGUUGCGUCACCUGCACUGGUAUCAUCGGCACCUGCAACUGUUUUGGAAGUAUCUGUGAGUCACCAGGACUCAACAAUAUCACACCCGCGAGAUCAAGACUAUUUAAGCUUAAAGGAAAGGAUGGGGUAAAGAGGUGGAGCUGCAGCAAGCACUAAGCAUAUAUGGUGGCUAACAUACGCAAAUGAGAGCGAGAAGAGAAGCAACGGAACGGUCGUGAACUAGCAAUGAUCAAGAAGUGAUCCUGAACUCCUACUUACGUCAAACAUAACCCAGAAACCGUGUUCACUUCCCGGACUCCGCCGACAAGAGACCAUCACGGCUACACACGCGGUUGAUGCGUUUUAAUUAGGUUCAAGUGUCAAGCUCUCUACAACCGGAUAUUAACAAAUUCCCAUCUGCCACAUAACCGCGGGCACGGCUCUCGAAAGUUUAUACCCUGCAGGGGUGUCCCAACUUAGCCCAUUAUAAGCUCUCACGGUCAACGAAGGAUAAACCUUCUCCCGGAAAGACCCGAUCAGUCUCGGAAUCCCGGUUUACAAGACAUUUCGACAAUGGUAAAACAAGACCAGCAAAGCCGCCCGAUGUGCCGACAAAUCCCGAUAGGAGCUGCACAUAUCUCGUUCUCAGGGCAACACCGGAUGAGACAUCCUACGAGUAAAACCAGACCUCAAGUUUCCCCGAGGUGGCCCCGCAGUCUACUCGUUUUGGACCAACACUCGAAGGAGCAUUGGUCUGGGGGGGUUAAAAAUAAGAUGACCCUUGAGUCUGCAGAACCCAAGGGGAAAAGGCUUAGGUAGGCAAAUGGUAAAACCAAGGUUGGGCCUUGCUGGAGGAGUUUCAUUCAAAGCGAACUGUCAAGGGGGUCCCAUAAAUCACCCAACCGCAUAAGGAACGCAAAAUCAAGGAACAUAACACCGGUAUGAUGGAAACUAGGGCGGCAAGAGUGGAACAAAACACCAGGCAUAAGGCCGAGCCUUCCACCCUUUACCAAGUAUAUAGAUGCAUUAAUUAAAUAAGAGAUAUUGUGAUAUCCCAACAUAAACAUAAUCCAACAUGGAGCAAACUUCCUCUUCACCUGCAACUAGCAACGCUAUAAGAGGGGCUGAGCAAAAGCGGUAACAUAGCCAAGCAACGGUUUGCUAGGAAGGGUGAAAAGGUUAGGGGCUGACAUGGCAAUAUGGGAGGCAUGAAACAACAAGUGAAUAGGUAACGCGGCAUAGCAAUAGAGCAAACAACUAGCAAGCAAAGAUAGAAGUGAUUUCGAGGGUAUGGUCAUCUUGCCUGAGAUCCCGCAAGGAAGAAGAACAAGUCCAUGAAGAAGACAAACGGACGUAGUCGAACGAAUCCUCACAACUCCGGAAAGAAACCGAAGCUAACGAGAGAAGCAAACCGGAAAGAAACAAACAACAUAGUAAACAACCACCACAUACACAUGGCAUGAUGCAAAAACAAAUAUGAUGCAUGUCCGGUUUAAUGAGGCAUGGCAUGGCAAAGUGCAACAAACAAUACUACAAAUUAAGUGGAGCUCAGUAUGCAACGAGUUGCAUAUUGACGAAACACCACAUCAAUUAUUUAGUUCUCUCUCGAUUAUGUACCCAACAAUGUUAAAUGUUGUUAACCAUGGCAAGAGGUGAAGCAUAAGGAAACUACCUAUUUAAGCAAGUUAAAUGAGGCCGGAAACAAACAACAACAAUUCCGGAAAAUCCUCAUGUCCAUAUAUUGGGAUUGGUACUGUUCUGCCAUAAACACAAUUUUAAUAUUGUUAAACAGCAAAAUGAAGUGCACCAUGUUAAACUAGGCAUUUUUCUACCCCAUUUACAUAUAAAGUUUAUUAAAUUCUGAGUUACGGUUAAUUAGUUAUGAAAUAAAUCAUUUUAAUAUGGCAUUUAUGCAAAAUUAAAUAAACAGCAUUUUAAACAUUUUAACAUGGGAUGAAAGUGGCAAAUUAUUAAUCUACACAAAAUUCUAAGCAUUUUACAUAUUAAAAUCAUUUUAAUCCGAUGCACCAUUUGUGAGUUAUUAUAUGCAUGAAGUACAGGGGGUUUUCUGUAAAACUGUAAUUCUCUGGAUAAUAGAGAAAUUCGCAGAUCCUAAAAAAAACAUCACAUGGGCCGAAUGUGAAUAGGAAGCCCAACAGAGGAAAAAAAACAAGAGCAGGGGCACUGGGGUGUGGCCUCACCCAGUGGGCCUUGGCCCGUUCGGCUUGGAGAGGGAGGCUGGAAGGGGGGGCGCUGGGCCUGCUUGCUGGUAGCCCACGCGGCCGCUGAAGCUGGGCCAGGGGCGCUGGCUAUGGUCAACGCGGCAAGGACGAGUGGCGUCCUCUGUCGCCCGAAGCAGAGGAUGGAGCGGUGGUUGACGACGCCGGGGACGCGCAGGUGAUGGCGGGGAGGAGAAUCUGGCGAGGAUGCGGCUUGGCGGCGCCGGGCUUGAGGAGGCCGCGGUCAACGAGCGAGGGGCUCGUCUCCCUCGCAGAGAGACGAGGCCGGCAGCAGCCGCGCUGGAACGGGGAACGAUGGCGCCCUCGGGCGGGUGAGGAACGACGGGCGGAUCAUAGGCAUGGCGAGGACGCGGAUCCGGCAGGGGCGGCUCCAGGGAUGAGGUGGUGAUGCUCCUUCCUGCUCAACCGAGAAGGGGAGAGCAGGGGAGGUCAGAGAGGGCAAAGGAGAGAGAGACAGGGACUCGCGGCAGCGGGGUCUCACCGGCAAGGUCCGGGACGAGACGACGUGCACGGGAGGCUACGGGGACUGGGUUGGGCGCUCGGCCUCCUGUUCGGCUGCUUCAGCCACGAGGACGAGGAGGCGGGCACGCAAGGUGGAGCUCGGGCGCGCGAGAGGCCCGGCGAGGACGCGGCUUGGGCUGCAGCCAUCCAUGGCGCUGCAAUAGGAGGUCGAGAGGGAGAUGUGAGGCACGGGAGGUGCAGGGGAAAACGGAGGAGCAGCAGCAGGGCAUCUCACCGGCGGCAGAGGGGGUCCUGUGCUUCGGCGAGGUGGAACUCCGGCGUGGCACGCGAAGACGACGGGAUCUAGGGGAGGCACUAGUUGGCGGGGAGAGCUCGAGAGGGAGUUUGGAUCGGGGGCGCGGGCACCUAGAUCGAGGAGGAGCAGUGGGGAGCGCUGGAUGGAUGGAUCGGGCAGGAGGGACGGUGGUUGGCUCGGAAUGGAUCCCGAGAGAACAGUGG